RNAcentral lists this unclassified non-coding RNA (315 nucleotides) under plant metagenome. RNAcentral describes it as "partial contains 5.8S ribosomal RNA, internal transcribed spacer 2, and large subunit ribosomal RNA". The stretch from base 1 to 105 matches the Rfam family "5.8S ribosomal RNA", at positions 50 to 154 of the family's 154-position model. The record is from RNAcentral.
GAACUGCGAUAAGUAAUGUGAAUUGCAGAAUUCAGUGCAUCAUCGAGUCUUUGAACGCACAUUGCGCCCCCUGGCAUUCCGGGGGGCAUGCCUGUCCGAGCGUCAUUGCUGCCCUUCAAGCCCGGCUUGUGUGUUGGGUCGUCGUCCCCUCCGGGGGACGGGCCCGAAAGGCAGCGGCGGCACCGCGUCCGGUCCUCGAGCGUAUGGGGCUUUGUCACCCGCUCGAUAAGGACCGGCCGGGCGCCAGCCGGCGUCUCCAACCUUUUUUUCUCAGGUUGACCUCGGAUCAGGUAGGGAUACCCGCUGAACUUAAGC